This 366-nucleotide ribosomal RNA is filed under the name Triticum aestivum (bread wheat). RNAcentral describes it as "partial small subunit ribosomal RNA". Lineage: Eukaryota; Viridiplantae; Streptophyta; Magnoliopsida; Poales; Poaceae. The record is from RNAcentral.
AUGAAUCUCUUGGCCUGGAACUGUCGAGGAUUGGGGUUGGACUCGACAGUUGACGAAUUAAGAGACCUGAUACGGUCCUACAACCCGGCGGUGGUUUUUCUUUGCGAGACAAAGAAGAAGGCGAGAGCAAUGGAGCGAUUAAAGUGGAGGCUAGGGUUUAAGCAAGGAGUAGCAGUUGAUUGUGUGGGGCUUCGCGGAGGAUUGGCACUAUGGUGGAGAGACUCAGUCACUAUGACUAUUAGGCCAUGGAGCCAAUAUUUCAUUGAUGCGGAGAUGGUGUGGGAGGGCAAAACCUGUAGAUUCAUUGGUUUCUACAUGGAGCCAAAAACGGAACUUCGUAAAAAAUCUUGGGACGCUAUCAGGUAA